GUUUCCUACGGGGGGCAGCAGUGGGGAAUAUUGGGCAAUGGGCGCAAGCCUGACCCGGCAACGCCGCGUGAAGGAAGAAGGCUUUCGGGUUGUAAACUUCUUUUAUUCGGGACGAAGAAAGUGACGGUACCGAAUGAAUAAGCCACGGCUAACUACGUGCCAGCAGCCGCGGUAAUACGUAGGUGGCAAGCGUUAUCCGGAUUUAUUGGGUGUAAAGGGUGCGUAGACGGGAUAACAAGUUAGUUGUGAAAACCCUCGGCUCAACUGAGGAACUGCAACUAAAACUAUUAUUCUUGAGGGCAGGA
RNAcentral lists this ribosomal RNA (305 nucleotides) under uncultured bacterium. Its description in RNAcentral is "bacterial SSU rRNA". It matches the Rfam family "Bacterial small subunit ribosomal RNA", at positions 334 to 653 of the family's 1533-position model. The record is from RNAcentral.